UAAAAGCCAUCGGACACCA
RNAcentral lists this microRNA (19 nucleotides) under Gallus gallus (chicken). RNAcentral's name for it is "microRNA Ros-gga". The record is from RNAcentral. Lineage: Eukaryota; Metazoa; Chordata; Aves; Galliformes; Phasianidae.